CAGCAGCAGCCGCGGGAAAACGAAGGGGGCUAGCGUUGUUCGGAUUUACUGGGCGUUAAGCGCACGUAGGCGGAUCGAUCAGUCAGGGGUGAAAUCCCAGAGCUCAACUCUGGAGCUGCCUUUGAUACUGUCGAUCUGGAGUAUGGAAGAGGUGAGUGGAAUUCCGAGUGUAGAGGUGAAAUUCGUAGAUAUUCGGAAGAACACCAGUGGCGAAGGCAGCUCACUGGACUGGUAUUGACGCUGAGGUGCGAAAGCGUGGGGAGCAAACAGGAUUAGAUACCCCAGUAGUCCCUGUCUCUUAUAC
This 304-nucleotide ribosomal RNA is filed under the name uncultured bacterium. Its description in RNAcentral is "partial 16S ribosomal RNA". It matches the Rfam family "Bacterial small subunit ribosomal RNA", at positions 506 to 807 of the family's 1533-position model. The record is from RNAcentral.